Molecule: unclassified non-coding RNA, 197 nt
Filed under: soil metagenome
Description: partial contains 5.8S ribosomal RNA, internal transcribed spacer 2, and large subunit ribosomal RNA
Source: RNAcentral
AACGCACGAGACCUGCGGACCUGCGGAAGGAUCAUUACCGAGUUUACAACUCCCAAACCCCAUGUGAACAUACCUGUUUCGUUCCCUCGGCGGUGUCCGGCAACGGCCCGCCAGAGGACCCAACAAACUCUUUUGAAUUUUUCAGUAUCUUCUGAGUGAAAAAAACAAUAAAUCAAAACUUUCAGCAAUGGAUCUCU